This 1696-nucleotide long non-coding RNA is filed under the name Dromaius novaehollandiae (emu). Its description in RNAcentral is "lncRNA (ENSDNVG00000008020.1)". The record is from RNAcentral. Lineage: Eukaryota; Metazoa; Chordata; Aves; Casuariiformes; Dromaiidae.
NNCCCUCCCUCCAUCCCUCCCUCCAUCCCUCCUUCCAUCCCUCCUAUCCCUCCCUCCAUCCCUACUUCCAUCCCUUUGUCCCUCCUUCCAUUCCUCCAUCCCUCUCUCUAUUCCCCUAUCCCUCCAUCCUUCCCUCCUUUCCUCCCUCCAUCCCUGUUCCCCUCUUCCUCCACCUAUUCAUCUGCCCAUCCCUGUCUCCAUCCGUCCACCUGUCCAUCCUUCCAUCUCUCCAUCUGUCCAUCCCUCCACUCAUCCAUCUAUCCAUCCAUCUGCCCACCCACCGCCUACCCACCCACCCAUCCAUUUCUCCUUCCACCUAUCCGUCCAUCUGUCCACCACCUACCCAUCCAUCCAUGUGUCCAUCCAUUUGUCCAUCCAUCCAUCCAUCCCUCCCUCUACCUAACCAUCCCUCCACCUACCCAUCUGUCUGUCCAUCCAUCCAUCCCUCCAUCCAUCCACCUCUAUCCAUUCCUCCAGCUACCAUCCAUCCCUCUACCUGACCGUUCUUCUACCUGUCCAUCCAUCUGUCCAUCCACCCUUCCACCUAACCAUCCAGCCUUCUCUCCACUUUUCUAUCCAUCCAUCCACCUAUCCAUCCAUCUCUCCAUCCACCAUCCAUCCUUCUACCUAUCCAUCCAUCUGUCCAUCCAUCUAUCCAUCCAUGCCUGCAUCCACUCAUCUGACUUCUACCUAUCCACCCAUCCAUCCCUCCACCUACCCAUCUGUCCCUCCAUCCACCCAUCCAUCCCUCUACUUAUCCAUCUCUCCAUCCAUCCCUUCCUCCAUCCAUCCCUCCAUCCCACCACAUAUCCCUCUGCUUAUCCAUCCAUCCCUCUACCCCUCCAUCCGUCUACCCCUCCAUCAAUCCGUCCUUCUAUCUGUCCGUCCAUCCAUCCCUUACCCCCUUCACCUAUUGCUACCUCCAUCCCUCCUGCCAUCCCUCCGUCUGUCCGUCUGUCCUCCAUCUGUCUGUUCAUCCUCUCUCCACCUCUCCAUCCCUCUGUCCCUCCGUCUGUUCAUCCUCUCGCCAGCUGUCCAUCCACCCGUUCACCUGUCCUUUAUCCAUCUAUUCAUCCAUCCCUCCUUUCCUCCAUCCUUCUAUCCAUCUGUCCUAUCCAUUUGUCCUUUCCUCCACCGUUGUCUGCUUGUUCGUCCAUCCUGUUCUCCAUCUGCCCAUCCUUUCUACCAUCCCUUUACCCAUCUGCCUGUGCAUUCAUCCAUCCUUUCAUCCAUCCAUCUGUCCAUCCCUUUAUCCGUCCGUGCAUUCAUCCUUCUUUGAUCCAGCUGUUUGUCCGUCCACGCGUCCGUGCUUUUGUCCAUCUCUCCAUCCAUCCUUGUGUCCAUCCUUUCCUCCAUCCUUCUGUCUACUUGUCGCUUCACCCAUCUUUCCAGCCACCUGUCCAUCCUUUCAUCCUUUCAUCCAUCCGUCUGUGCUUCCCGCUGUCCGUGUGUCCGUCCUUUCAUCCCUCCAUUCAUCCAUCCGUCUGUCCAGCCUUUAUCAGCGCGUCUGUCCUUCCGUCUGUCUGUGUCCGUCCUUUCAUCCCUCCGUUCAUCCGUCUGUUCAUCCCUCCGCUCAUCCAUCGCUUCUUUCCCCCCUUUGGCCAUUUAUUGCCCCCUCCAUCCGUCCCUCCUUCCCGCUCCCCGGCGCGGGGCGCCUGGGGGGGGCUCCGGGACCCCCGGGGGGACCCCGACACCC